UAUCAGUCUCUUUCCACUCUGUUUUUUGUACAUGUACCUGCCCAGGUGAGACCGCAAAGCAAAAUAAUCCCGUGGGCCCACCUAAUCUGGGACAGAUAAAAGAGCGUCCACCAAUAACUUGCUCAGGAGGAACUCUGUCUUUCUUUUUCAUGCAAUCACCAUAAACCUGGCAGGAUAAGGGCUUAUGCAUAAGUGAACUUUUGGAAAGCAUGAGGGGAAAUUAUUUGGAGCCCCAGGAGAGGAUUGUAAGUUCCUGACUGCAAGUGUGGGGAAUCGCUCUGAAGAAAUUGUUCAGAAAGCGUUGGGAAUUUUCAUUGUCGUGUGAAAAUGGGCACAUUCUAACUACAUCAAGUUAUUAUUUUUCUGUCUGUGAGAGAAUUGAUAUCAUUUGGAAGAAGUUCCAAAAUGAAGUUUUAAACUAGUAGUUGAUAUUUUGAUAAACUGAACAUUGUUUUUCAUAAGACAGAUGGGCAAGGAUAAAAUGUUUUAUGAAUUUUCAUAUGCUAAUGUUUUAUGCUUAGAGAAAUGGAGUAGUUACUAUUAUGUCACUUGUAGACUCAAUAAAUUGUGCAGAAAAGUCAAUGUGGGGACAAAAUAGUAUAUAAAGUUUAUGAAUUAUCACCAAUAAAUAUUAAGAAGGAAAAUAUUAGAAUGAAUAAUGCAAUGUAACAGAAAAAACUGAAAAAACGAUGUGAAUGUCAAUUUAAAGGGAGAAUUGUUAAAGGUUAACCAAUGUCUUUUUUAAUAUUCUACAAUCUUCAAUCAAAAUAGUCAGUUAUUGGUAACUUGAAAAUAUUUUCUUGAUUAAUUAUCUGAACUAUUUUUACCCAAUUUAACUAUUUUUGAGAUCUGAAUGCUAGCUACCAUUCUGUCUGUGGACAUUUUCUGAAGGUCCUAUGACUUCAUUUUCCAGGCAUAAUAUUCAACAUAUUUCAAACACGGAUGCACAGACACACACACACAAAGCUGACUCCUUUAUGGGCAUGUGUUGUAUGUAGUGGUACAAGGGCCCAUGCUUAGAAGGGUUCUGUUCCUGGUUUAAUACUCUGCUGUCACUGUCUCGAAAUUUUUAAUUAUCUUUGGACAAGAGAACUCUCAUUUUCGCUCGGCUCUGGGCCCUGCGAAUUCUGUAACUGGUCACAGACACUAGCAUAUAUUACGCUACAUGUUGUGGAUAACAAUGCAUUUCUUCAAGGUGGUUUUCAGUCUGGUGGGAAAAACAAAUGUUAAAUGUCUAAUCUCAAGGAUAAAGAAUAUUGUGAAAAGGAAAAGAUGAGAUGCAUUUCAAACUGGGGGUUUAAGGCAAUCUAGACCCAUUUUAAAAAUUAGUGAAACUAAGGUCCAAAGAAGGUUUAUUUACCUGUCCAAUGGAAAAAUAGCUAUCAGUGGAUAAUCUAUAAUUCUAAAUCAGAUCUGCUUGAUUUUCAAGCCUGAGCUGAAGGAUGAAUUUUAAAUUUUAUCAAAUGGCUACUAAGCAUCUAUUUACACAAUCAUGUUUUUUCUUGUUAGAUUCCUGAAUAAGCCACAAAUUUACCAUAAUGCUAAAUUCAAGUUGCUAAUAUUUAUUUAGAAAUUUGCAAUUAUAUUCAUAAUUAGUAUAUAUUUGUUCCUCAUAUUAUAUUCAACUGAGUGUGGGCUAUUUUUGUUAAACUUUGUUACCUUCAUAAAGGGAUUUGGGAAUUCUGUUGUUUUCUAGAAACUGUAACUGUUUAAGCAUUAUAUAAAGUAUUUGUUUGUGGAGGAUUGACUAGAGUUCAACAAUAAAACAUACUUAAAUUCA
Equus caballus (horse) is the source of this 1780-nucleotide non-coding RNA. Lineage: Eukaryota; Metazoa; Chordata; Mammalia; Perissodactyla; Equidae. The record is from RefSeq and is a predicted model, not a curated record.